Molecule: long non-coding RNA, 1151 nt
Organism: Ictalurus punctatus (channel catfish)
Lineage: Eukaryota; Metazoa; Chordata; Actinopteri; Siluriformes; Ictaluridae
Exons: 2
Source: RefSeq, a predicted model, not a curated record
GCGUCAGGUCCAUCAGGUGUAGAAGCUCCAUUCUCAGAGCUCAUGCUGAUCAGUAGUGUAGUGACGGCCUCUCCGUAUCUGCUGGUGACCAUCAUUCUGCUGGUCAAAUGUUACAGAGCUCGAGCUCACACUGAUGAAGAGAGGAUUGAGAAUGCAGUCAUAGAGGAGUGAGCAAAGUUCAUCUGUAAAAAGAGGAUGCAUUUACUGUCAAAUAAUUUCAUCAUUUCUUGUUCUUUAAUGCUUUGUGGGAUUUUAAAAUAAUACUGAUUUGUCAUUUUAAUGCCAUGCUGUUAUUUGCUCAGCAUCUUAUAGACACCUUCAUUGGUCUGACUGGAUUUGUUUAGCUGAAGCCUGCAAACCUCCUCAUGAGGUGAAAGUUACCAUGUGUGUAUCUCCAAUAACGCUUACAUGCUGCUAAUGCAAUGCAGAGUAAAAAAUGAACAAAGACUCUUAUAAAAAUAUUAAUGAAGGGGAAAUGUUGAUGCAGAGAGUGUAUAUGGUUUAAAUUGCGUUAUUUCAGAAUGAAAAUGUGCAGUGUAAUGUUUUCCAGUGUAGGUUGUAUUUUCUGUAAGCUGACUACAGUCAGAGCGGUUGGUGAAAAGCCCAGUGUUACUGGAGUUAAAGUAAGUUAAGCUUUGUAUGGAUGCGAUAUAAAAACAAGGUCAUCGACUGUUAUCUGAAACAUGGUGGGAACUAAUAUUGUGUUUUGUGUCUUCUCAGUAUUAGUUCUACCACUACUGUAUUUGUACUGCUGUGUUUUCUUCUAUUUCUUUGUGAGAUUAGCUCUAGCUGGAUUACAAGGAGUAGAUUUACAAUCUCAGUUACACACUGUUGUUAGAUUUGUUCGACUUUUCAGCUGUGUGAACUUUAAUUGUAGUUGUGUGAGGAGAUUUGUGGAUGAAAUGAUUUGAUCAAUUCAAUAAAUGCAUCAUUAUCAGUUCACUGAAUUAUUUAACCUGGUAGCAAUAAUGUAUCGUAUGAAGUACAAGUAAUACUCUGAGAAAACUCUUGUGCCUUUGUCAAUAUCAGCAUUUUUACCAUUUUGUAUUUUUAUACAAUGAUGUACUUUUCAUUGUCUUAUAUUGUCUCUUGUCUCCUGCUGUAAGAUUGUAAUUUCCCACAUGGGAUUAAUAAAGUGUUAUCUUAAAAGC